UACGGAGGGCGCAAGCGUUGUUCGGACUCACUUGGCGUAAAGCGCGUGUAGGCGGCUUGGUAAGUCGGGUGUGAAAGCCCGGAGCUCAACUCCGGAACUGCAUUCGAAACUACCUCGCUCGAGUCCCGGAGAGGGUGGUGGAAUUCCCGGUGUAGAGGUGAAAUUCGUAGAUAUCGGGAGGAACACCAGUGGCGAAGGCGGCCACCUGGACGGUACUGACGCUGAGACGCGAAAGCGUGGGGAGCGAACAGG
Molecule: ribosomal RNA, 252 nt
Filed under: uncultured bacterium
Lineage: Bacteria
Description: partial 16S ribosomal RNA
Rfam family: Bacterial small subunit ribosomal RNA
Source: RNAcentral